Molecule: microRNA precursor, 89 nt
Filed under: Canis lupus familiaris (dog)
Lineage: Eukaryota; Metazoa; Chordata; Mammalia; Carnivora; Canidae
Description: mir-8799 microRNA precursor family
Rfam family: mir-8799 microRNA precursor family
Source: Rfam by way of RNAcentral
CGGGGGAGGCCGGAUCCUGGGCUGUGUCCCGGCGCCCUGUGCUCCUGGGCCUGCGCUGUUGGAUUUGCGCUCCCGCCCCGCAGCCCCCU